This 187-nucleotide ribosomal RNA is filed under the name Fusarium oxysporum. RNAcentral describes it as "5.8S ribosomal RNA". The stretch from base 10 to 163 matches the Rfam family "5.8S ribosomal RNA". Rfam says of the family: 5.8S ribosomal RNA (5.8S rRNA) is a component of the large subunit of the eukaryotic ribosome. It is transcribed by RNA polymerase I as part of the 45S precursor that also contains 18S and 28S rRNA. Lineage: Eukaryota; Fungi; Ascomycota; Sordariomycetes; Hypocreales; Nectriaceae. The record is from RNAcentral.
AUAAAUCAAAACUUUCAACAACGGAUCUCUUGGUUCUGGCAUCGAUGAAGAACGCAGCAAAAUGCGAUAAGUAAUGUGAAUUGCAGAAUUCAGUGAAUCAUCGAAUCUUUGAACGCACAUUGCGCCCGCCAGUAUUCUGGCGGGCAUGCCUGUUCGAGCGUCAUUUCAACCCUCAAGCACAGCUUGG